Long non-coding RNA from Xiphophorus hellerii (green swordtail), 1931 nucleotides. RefSeq lists it as uncharacterized. NCBI's taxonomy places the organism in Eukaryota, Metazoa, Chordata, Actinopteri, Cyprinodontiformes, Poeciliidae. The record is from RefSeq and is a predicted model, not a curated record. The transcript has 2 exons.
AUGACCAGAUUCACUCACUGAUCAUUAACCUGUGAUGUUAAAAUAAAUAUGAAACCCGUGGCACGGCUACGUAAUCGAAUUCAGGCGGUAAAUAAUUUAUUACAGACUAAUAAAUCUGUACAUUUUAUUUAAUUUUUUAUUUUUUUUUUAUGUUAGGUUGUCGUUCAGGGCUUUAUUCUCGGGACAGGAAGCGGUUACUGUUUGAUUCUUUAUCGGACCUCUGCUCUAUCUUGUCUUCUUCUUUGGGGCUCCCAUUGGGGCAUCGUUCUGAACUCGGUACGAUUUGUUAGAGCUACAUUUAAAUAAAGGAACAUUUACAAGUGUCACGAAAUGAAAGCUGAAACAAUUUGACUUGGAGUUUUUUUUUUUUUUUUAUUAUUUACAUGCUGACUGAAAAACAAAGCGGAGCCCAGAAGAAAUGGUCGGAUUAAUUUGGUCAACUUAACGACAAGGGAUGUGAAUGAUAGAAUGAUGCCAGUUUCCUGUUCGCCAGUGAUGGUCAGAUGAAGGUUAAUAGGCAGAAUGGGGUUUAAUUUGAUGUAACUCAUCCAACCUUUAGUGUUAAAGAACGAGCCAAAGCUAAAAUCAAAGUUCUCCUCUUAUCGGUCCCUCUAGCUUCUCUAGAGGUCUGGAUCAUGACUGAAGCUUUUGGUCAGAAGUGUCAGAUACACGGUUUGGUUGAACAGAUGCAUGAAGGCCUUGCGUCACCUGGUCCAAUUCAAAGAGUCGAAGACAACAACACGGUGUGGAGAACCUUAACUGAACCACACGGAGUGCUAACCUCAAAACGACAGAACAGAUUUUGAGAUGUCCAGCAACAGCGUCCGACCUCAGAGAUGCUCUUCUUGAAAAAUGAGCAAAAAUUCCUACAAAUACACUUCUAACAUCGUGGGAAACCUUCCAUUUUGAAUCUGCUCCCGAGGUAAAGAUUGUGCCGACAUUAUAUUAACUGCUGUGGAUUAAGAACAGGAAGUCACUGCCACAUCUUUUCACCGCAGAAUGGUAAGAAAGACAAAAAAUAACCUCUCUAAAGCAAAGAGUAGCAGGUUGGGGGCACACAGUCUCCAUAACAACCAUUUAUUUCAAGGCCUCUGCGCAUGUUUCUGCUAGUUGUGCCGAUAUAGGUGGUAUAAUGUGGUCACUGUUGGCUAAUUUCACUUUUUGUUGAGCUCAAACGCCAACAAAACUGUUGCUCUGAACAUUUUGUAAUGACAGAAGAGAGAGCAGACGCCUGACAAGACUUUGUGUUUGCAUUUUGAAACGACGGAAUGGAACAUUGAUCUGUUCUGUCAGAGUAACUAAAAGAAAACUCACACCAGCACACCCGCCCUGCAUGCCAGCUGUUUAACCUGGCAUCGGGCCAGGUUUGCUUCGCUUUGAGCUGGGAACCAGAAUGACUGAAGCUCCGACUGCUAAACAACGUGGGAUACCUUCUUCUCAGAGCUGCUUUUCACACAUCGAGGGAAAUCCGCAGCAAAGCGCAUUACACGCUCACUGCCGUGUUUGCAGGGGAGCAAUAAAACACGGCCCGAGGUUAAACUUUGACCCUCUCGACGCGGCGGACAGCCUGCGUUUAAUAAAUGACCUCGAUGACACACCGAACGCGUCCCGGCGAAGCUGCGCGGCGACGUACCCAGGGAGCGGGACGACGUGGUGUAGAAAGCUUUCUGUCCGAUCUCUGAAAGCGCCAUGAAAAUGGCGCGCGGCAGUCAGCAGGAAAGAAAAAACAAAACCCUGGGGGACACCAGAAACCAACCCGUCAGUCAUCCAGGUGGACCGAGUCAGUCAGGCCUGCGGAGGAAAGGCGGGUCGAGCCGGAUCGAACCUGACGAGGAGCAGAGGCGAGAAGGCAGCCCGGUGUGAUGGAAACCAACACCAGCCCUGUCUGAGAAAGACAGGAGUAAAUAAUUAAACGUGGCUAAAUCAUAAAA